This 363-nucleotide ribosomal RNA is filed under the name Triticum aestivum (bread wheat). RNAcentral's name for it is "partial small subunit ribosomal RNA". Lineage: Eukaryota; Viridiplantae; Streptophyta; Magnoliopsida; Poales; Poaceae. The record is from RNAcentral.
AUGCAUCAAGGGACGCUUAGAACAGAGCUAUAUAGCGGUCUGCAAGAUGAAAUUGAUAAUGGUGAUACCAGAACUGAUCCAGUAGGUAAAGGAAUUAUACCACCUUCAUCAUAUAAUGGAAGUCCGAGGAAUAAACAUCAGUACUACCAGGAUGCAAUGGCCAUAUGUCGGUGGGCUGGAUAUCCAGAUCUGUUUAUCACUUUCACAUGCAACCCAAAGUGGACAGAAAUACAGAUCAUGUUGGACUUCAUAACAGGACAAAAACCAGAGGAUCGUCCAGACAUUGUCAAUAGAGUAUUCCUUAUAAAGCUGAAUGAACUAAUAGAAGACAUAUACAAAAAAAGCGGUUUGGAAAAGCAAUAG